RNAcentral lists this ribosomal RNA (138 nucleotides) under uncultured eukaryote. RNAcentral describes it as "partial 18S ribosomal RNA". It matches the Rfam family "Eukaryotic small subunit ribosomal RNA", at positions 1299 to 1458 of the family's 1831-position model. The record is from RNAcentral.
UGGUGGAGCGAUUUGUCUGGUUAAUUCCGAUAACGAACGAGACUCUGGCCUAUUAAAUAGUUCGCCGAUUCCGAUCUGUCGGCGUUAACUUCUUAGAGGGACAAGUGGCUUUAAGCCACGCGAGAUUGAGCAAUAACA